UACGAAGGGGGCUAGCGUUGCUCGGAAUCACUGGGCGUAAAGGGUGCGUAGGCGGGUCUUUAAGUCAGGGGUGAAAUCCUGGAGCUCAACUCCAGAACUGCCUUUGAUACUGAAGAUCUUGAGUUCGGGAGAGGUGAGUGGAACUGCGAGUGUAGAGGUGAAAUUCGUAGAUAUUCGCAAGAACACCAGUGGCGAAGGCGGCUCACUGGCCCGGUACUGACGCUGAGGUGCGAAAGCGUGGGGAGCAAACAGG
RNAcentral lists this ribosomal RNA (253 nucleotides) under uncultured bacterium. RNAcentral's name for it is "partial 16S ribosomal RNA". It matches the Rfam family "Bacterial small subunit ribosomal RNA", at positions 524 to 776 of the family's 1533-position model. The record is from RNAcentral.